GCAAGUCGAACGGUAACAGAGGAAAGCUUGCUUUCUUGCUGACGCGUGGCGGACGGGUGAGUAACGCGAGGGAAUCUACCUAGUAGUGGGGGAUAGCCAGAAGAAAUUCUGAAUAAUACCGCAUACGCCCUACGGGGGAAAGAGGCCCUCUUCUUGAAAGGUCUCACUCUUAGAUGAGCUCGCGUUAGAUUAGCUAGUUGGUGAGGUAAGAGCCCACCAAGGCAACGAUCUAUAGCUGGUCUGAGAGGAUGAUC
Molecule: ribosomal RNA, 254 nt
Filed under: uncultured bacterium
Lineage: Bacteria
Description: partial 16S ribosomal RNA
Rfam family: Bacterial small subunit ribosomal RNA
Source: RNAcentral